GUGGGAAAUAUUGGACAAUGGGCGCAAGCCUGAUCCAGCCAUGCCGCGUGAGUGAUGAAGGCCCUAGGGUUGUAAAGCUCUUUCACCGGAGAAGAUAAUGACGGUAUCCGGAGAAGAAGCCCCGGCUAACUUCGUGCCAGCAGCCGCGGUAAUACGAAGGGGGCUAGCGUUGUUCGGAAUUACUGGGCGUAAAGCGCACGUAGGCGGACAUUUAAGUCAGGGGUGAAAUCCCGGGGCUCAACCCCGGAACUGCCUUUGAUACUGGGUGUCUGGAGGAUGGAAGAGGUAAGUGGAAUUCCGAGUGUAGAGGUGAAAUUCGUAGAUAUUCGGAGGAACACCAGUGGCGAAGGCGGCUUACUGGUCCAUUACUGACGCUGAGGUGCGAAAGCGUGGGGAGCAAACAGGAUUAGAUACCCGAGUAGUCC
Molecule: ribosomal RNA, 425 nt
Filed under: uncultured bacterium
Lineage: Bacteria
Description: partial 16S ribosomal RNA
Rfam family: Bacterial small subunit ribosomal RNA
Source: RNAcentral